ACAAUGAAAAGUCAGCAGUCUGCAACCUGGAAGAGGGUCCUCACCAGAACCUGACCAGGCUGGCACACCCAUCUCAGACUUCCAGCCUCCAGAGGCUGGUCUGCGAUUUGCUUUGGCUGACAGAAUAUGAUGAAGUGAUGUUAUAUGGGUUCCUUACUCAGCCUUUAAGUGGACUUGCAGCUACUGCUCUCUACUCCACACUGCUACCACCAUCUGAAGAACCCUACAGUAGGAGACACUUGGCCCAGAUAAUCACAAAGAAAAAGAGUAUGCAGUGAGAAGGACAAGUCUCAUAACCACAUGUUGUUAAUGAAGAAGCUGAGGCACCAAGCGACUUAAGGAUUUGACCAAAAUCAGACAGCAGCAGAUUCAAAGAUAAUGCCAGCUCCUCAUCUUCGUUUCUGGUGCUGUUUACACCGUGAUACUUCAACACUGAAAGAAACACCUAUCAAUUCUCGUACAACUUUAAAGAUGCAUUCUUACUGU
Molecule: long non-coding RNA, 486 nt
Filed under: Homo sapiens (human)
Lineage: Eukaryota; Metazoa; Chordata; Mammalia; Primates; Hominidae
Description: non-protein coding lnc-FSHR-9:2
Source: RNAcentral